AUAAAUGUCUAGGCUUGUUUCACUUCCUCUCCUUUGUACUUCUGAAUAUAAUAUUUAAUUUAAUCUUAUACAUUGGAAACGAAAGAGAUAGAAUUUACGUUGGUAGCAUGUGUAAAAGCAAACCAGUUCUGCGCACUUCAUAUGCUGGAAUAGUUACAUGCAUACAACUGAGGAGUUUGAUCUUCACUUGCCUAGACAGUUCAUCAUGGGGAAACUUCGUUGAAUGCACCAAAAGAAACAUCUGAAAGAUAACUAAGUUAACUAGGUUCUGUAUGUCUUGUUAUGCUUGUGAUUUCCGACAACAUUGGAACUUACUUUCAUGGUUUGUCAAAUUGACCAAAGAUGAUGCUAGAAAACUGGUUUGUUAUGAUAGAAACUUCUUUGUGAAAUGAUGGCUAGGGGUCUAUCAUAAGAGUAAAACAAGUCUGGACGUAUUGCAGCAGCUACAGUCUGUUAAUAUCAGCCCUGUUAUCAUUUUUGUAUUUUAAAGAUGUGUGUAAGAUAUAGCUUAAUUUCAAAAGAGCUGGUUGUAAAUUUCUGGAAGUUGGUGUCCAAUUAUUUCAAGUGUUGCAUGGAAGACUCCAAUGAUUCCACUACCAAGGUAUGAUCCAAUUAUGCUUCGCACAAAACAAGAAAGCACUUGCAAAAUGUUUCGUUCUUACGACAAACAGCUCCUCGCAAAACAAGCACUUGUAGCACUUAGAAUUGGUUGCUUACAUGUGCUCUGCUGCAUUUUUUAUUUCUAUUGCUCUAUCUUAUCUCUUUGUUGAAAUUGUUUCUAUGGCUUUCCUUUCAUAUCCCAACAGGUUUAUCUGUAAAAUUCUUCGAGUUUGUGAAAAAUGUGUUACAUUUGUUUUUGGACCCGCACAAAAUCUUUUAACUAAAUCCCAACUUAAAAGCUCAAUCUUUCGUCCCAUAAAUGUAACUAAAAUGGUAGCUACCAGAGAUAUUAUCGGAGUGGCCGGGGUUCGAACCCCGAAUUCCACACUUCUCCACAUUUAAAUGUGUGAGAGUCUAGCCACUAGGCUACUUUGACAAAAAAAAAAAAAGAUCUUAAUCUUUCAUUAGUUAAUUUUAAUCACAUAUUCAUAUUGGAUAAAAAUAAUGGAUGAAAGCUUGUCAAAGCAAAAUGACAUUUAAACAAACUGUAUAUAUGCCUUUUCUUUUUCACAUAUUCACUAUGGUU
This is a long non-coding RNA of Trifolium pratense (red clover), 1186 nucleotides long. RefSeq lists it as uncharacterized. NCBI's taxonomy places the organism in Eukaryota, Viridiplantae, Streptophyta, Magnoliopsida, Fabales, Fabaceae. The transcript is spliced from 5 exons. The record is from RefSeq and is a predicted model, not a curated record.